GCGGCGACGCUCGCUGCCUGCUGUCUGCUGCCGCCGCCGCGCCGCCGCCGCUGCCGCCGCCGCCGGUGUCAGCCUCCCUCGGGAGACUCCAUUUGCUCUCAGGUUGGUUCGGCCGCCGCGAAGGCAGGCGGAGAGCGAUGCCUCCGGCCCGCGGACUGGCGUCCCCUGGGCCAAGCGCCCGCCUGCUCGCUGGCUGGCUGCGGCGGUGACAUCCUGGUCGCUGGCGUCCACGGAGGAAUCCGGGCUCCCACGGAGCAAAGACGUCCGGCGUUCCGGAGCUCUCCGUGCGGGGAGAGGCCCUUGCUAACGCGGCUCCUCUCUGACCUCUUAAUUUCAGGAGGUUUCGGAGGCUCCGAGUGCCUAUACAGCCCCCGACAGGAACUACUUCUGUUGGCCCAUGGAGGAUCAUCUUUCACCAGGAUUAUCGUAACAUCUUCACUGAGCCUUCCCCCACCCCAUACCCUCUACCAUGAGUCCUGAUUUCUGCCAAUGAAGUUUUUUGAUGCUUUCUUUAAUCAUGUGACACCACUUCUUGUCCACCUUUUUCCUUUUCAGUUGCCAAACACAUGAGGUGGAGGUUUGUGUCAUGUUAAAGUACACAGUUUCCUGCCUGUCCACUUUCACCUGAUUCGCACCGCUCCCUUCUGUUCAGCUUGCCUUACCCUGAUUGCUUACGAUUUCCAUAACCACUCACUUGCACAUGGUGUAGCAGCCCUUGCCUGGGGAGGUAGCAUUCCAUACAGCGCACUGCCUGACGAGGACAGCAGUCAGGGGGCGAGUUUUCCCGUUGGAUUUUCCUAUCAGGUUUGCAAGCCCUUCUUCCAGCUCUUUGUUCCCUAGCACAGUGCCCCAAAUACUCCCACCAGAGUCUUAGUUUCUUUAACAUAGAGCUUCGCCCAUAAGGAUGGCAAGAAUCAAGUAUGUAAUGUGACUGUUUUAGAGACCUUGCUGGUGCAAUAUUGGUUGUCAUCGCCACUGAGAUCGCAGUUCAUGAAAAGAUCUUAAAUUAAGGGAGGAGGAGGCAAGAUAGAAGGUAGGAUUAAGUGGAGCCAGUCCUUGUUGUUUGAAGUUUGUAAGUUUCAAAACAGCAAAGCGAAGAGAGUCAUGUAGGCCUUGUCUGGAAAUUGGCCAGCACACUGUCCAUCUAGGUCCUAGGGGGGCAGGAAAGGGACCUUAAAACCCCAUUUUCUAGUCUCAUUGUGUCCAAAUCUAAGUUGUUACGUAUCUUGUUCUAGUAAUCGUCUAAAAUAUUAGAUACAAUGUUGGGGAAACGAAAGCGUGUGGUGUUGACAAUUAAGGACAAGCUUGACAUUAUUAAGAAACUUGAGGAAGGCAUCUCUUUCAAAAAACUUUCUGUGGUGUAUGGAAUUGGUGAAUCCACAGUGCGCGAUAUU
This 1394-nucleotide long non-coding RNA is filed under the name Phocoena sinus (vaquita). RNAcentral's name for it is "lncRNA (ENSPSNG00000001000.1)". The record is from RNAcentral. Lineage: Eukaryota; Metazoa; Chordata; Mammalia; Artiodactyla; Phocoenidae.